UACGUAGGGACCAAGCGUUGUCCGGAAUCAUUGGGCGUAAAGAGCGUGUAGGCGGCCAUGUAGGUCCGUUGUGAAAACUCGAGGCUCAACCUCGAGACGCCGAUGGAAACCAUGUGGCUAGAGUCCGGAAGAGGAGAGUGGAAUUCCUGGUGUAGCGGUGAAAUGCGCAGAUAUCAGGAAGAACACCCGUGGCUAAGGCGGCUCUCUAGUACGGUACUGACGCUGAGACGCGAAAGCGUGGGGAGCGAACAGG
Molecule: ribosomal RNA, 253 nt
Filed under: uncultured bacterium
Lineage: Bacteria
Description: partial 16S ribosomal RNA
Rfam family: Bacterial small subunit ribosomal RNA
Source: RNAcentral